CUAUAAUUAUCGCUAAAUCUAUUUAAGAGCGGGGGACCCAAUUAAUUACGGAUAUAUCCGUGUGGGUGAAUCCUUUAAAAGGAAGGGCUUCUAUUUUCUCUUAGUCCUAACCCGAAAGCUAACCCCGUCAGCGUUUAAGAGGAAACAA
Bacilli bacterium VT-13-104 is the source of this 148-nucleotide regulatory RNA element. It matches the Rfam family "c-di-AMP riboswitch aptamer (ydaO/yuaA leader)". Rfam says of the family: This family represents a conserved RNA structure found upstream of the ydaO and yuaA genes in Bacillus subtilis and related genes in other bacteria. The ydaO/yuaA element is thought to act as a genetic "off" switch for the ydaO and yuaA genes in its native state. NCBI's taxonomy places the organism in Bacteria, Bacillati, Bacillota, Bacilli. The record is from Rfam.